This 468-nucleotide ribosomal RNA is filed under the name uncultured bacterium. RNAcentral describes it as "partial 16S ribosomal RNA". It matches the Rfam family "Bacterial small subunit ribosomal RNA", at positions 28 to 507 of the family's 1533-position model. The record is from RNAcentral.
GACGAACGCUGGCGGCGUGCUUAACACAUGCAAGUCGAACGGAAAGGCCCUGCUUUUGUGGGGUGCUCGAGUGGCGAACGGGUGAGUAAAACGUGAGUAACCUGCCCUUGACUUUGGGAUAACUUCAGGAAACUGGGGCUAAUACCGGAUAGGAGCUCCUGCAGCAUGGUGGGGGUUGGAAAGUUUCGGCGGUUGGGGCUGGACUCGCGGCUUAUCCGCUUGUUGGUGGGGUAGUGGCUUACCAAGGCUUUGACGGGUAGCCGGCCUGAGAGGGUGACCGGCCACAUUGGGACUGAGAUACGGCCCAGACUCCUACGGGAGGCAGCAGGGGGGAAUAUUGCACAAUGGGCGGAAGCCUGAUGCAGCGACGCCGCGUGCGGGAUGACGGCCUUCGGGGUGUAAACCGCUUUCGCCUGUGACGAAGCGUGAGUGACGGUAAUGGGUAAAGAAGCACCGGCUAACUACGUG